GCUUGUCUCAAAGAUUAAGCCAUGCAUGUAUAAGUAUAAACGCAUUAAGCGUGAAACCGCGAACGGCUCAUUACAACAGCUAUAAUUUACUUGAUCUUGACAAACUUACAUGGAUAACUGAGGUAAUUCUUGAGCUAAUACAUGCACCAAAGCUUUGACCGUAAGGGAAGAGCGCAUUUAUUAGAACAAAACCAAACGGCUUCGGCUGUUCCCAGUUGAAUCAGAAUAACUCAGCUGAUCGUACGGUCUUGCACCGACGACGUGUCUUUCAAGUAUCUGCUUUAUCAACUUUCGAUGGUAGGGUAUCUGCCUACCAUGGUGGUGACGGAUAACGGAGGAUCAGGGUUCGACUCCGGAGAAGGGGCCUGAGAAAUGGCCACUACGUCUAAGGAUGGCAGCAGGCGCGCAAAUUACCCACUCUCAGAAUUUGGAGGAGGUAGUGACGAGAAAUAACGAGGUUGAUCUCUUCUGAGGCCAACCAUCGGAAUGGGUACAAUUUAAACCCUUCAACGAGUAUCUAUGAGAGGGCAAGUCUGGUGCCAGCAGCCGCGGUAAUUCCAGCUCUCAAAAUGCAUAGAAUUAUUGCUGCGGUUAAAAAGCUCGUAGUUGGAUCUGCAGCCGGAGCUCCGGUCCAUCUUCGGAUGUGUACUGGAUGUCUUCGGCUUUCUGACAGUGUUCGGCUCUGUGCCUCUAACCAGGUGUGGAUGUCCGAUACUGUAAGUUUACUUUGAGUAAAUCAGAGUGCUCUAAACAGGCGUUUUGCUUGAAUGAUUGUGCAUGGAAUAAUAGAAGAGGAUUUCGGUUCUAUUUUAUUGGUUUUAUAGACUGAGAUAAUGGUUAACAGAGACAAACGGGGGCAUUUGUAUGGCUACGUGAGAGGUGAAAUUCUUGGACC
RNAcentral lists this ribosomal RNA (895 nucleotides) under Pratylenchus penetrans. RNAcentral describes it as "SSU rRNA". It matches the Rfam family "Eukaryotic small subunit ribosomal RNA", at positions 30 to 926 of the family's 1831-position model. Lineage: Eukaryota; Metazoa; Nematoda; Chromadorea; Rhabditida; Pratylenchidae. The record is from RNAcentral.